This 200-nucleotide unclassified non-coding RNA is filed under the name Helotiales sp. RNAcentral describes it as "partial internal transcribed spacer 2". The record is from RNAcentral. Lineage: Eukaryota; Fungi; Ascomycota; Leotiomycetes; Helotiales.
UUAAGUUCAGCGGGUAUCCCUACCUGAUCCGAGGUCAACCUUGAGAAGUUGGGGUUAUGGCAAGUAACCGAAGGACUCUGUAGCGAGAAAAAUUACUACGCUGAGAGCCUAACGGCACCGCCACUGUGUUUAGAGGCCGCUGGAAAGCGUACCCCAAUACCAAGCCAGGCUUGAUUGGUCAAAUGACGCUCGAACAGGCA